RNAcentral lists this long non-coding RNA (443 nucleotides) under Salvia miltiorrhiza (redroot sage). RNAcentral's name for it is "long non-coding RNA (SMIL_LNC011926)". Lineage: Eukaryota; Viridiplantae; Streptophyta; Magnoliopsida; Lamiales; Lamiaceae. The record is from RNAcentral.
GCGUUCUUCUUCAAUUCUCUUUUGCAGGUUUCUAGUUAUUCAUUUGGGGUUAUACAUUUUUUUUGAAUUAUAGCGUAUUUUAAUGCUUUUAGAUUUCUAGUUAUUGAAGUUUUAAUUUUAGGGACUGCCUAUAAGGGCAAAAUAGUACAUUUACUAAUAUCUUUUUUUUUUUUUUUUAAAAAUUAGAGGCUAUAUUGUGUAAAAUUGAGGCUAUCUAUAUAAUUACCUUAUUUAUAAUUACAUUGUUGAGCUUGAAGAUCGAACCGAUAACAAGAUAAAAAAUAAAAAUGAUAAUGAAAUGCAAGAACAUUUGGUUUACUUGGCUCAACAUAAGCCUACAUUCACGCGAAGGUCAUCAGAAAUGUCUUCACUAAAUUAUCUGCAUUCGAAAAUAAGAAUUUAGACAACUGAUUUACUAUUGCUCAACUCCUUUUCUAUCUUUG